Molecule: regulatory RNA element, 119 nt
Organism: Lactobacillus iners DSM 13335
Lineage: Bacteria; Bacillati; Bacillota; Bacilli; Lactobacillales; Lactobacillaceae
Rfam family: Ribosomal protein L10 leader
About the family: This family is a putative r-protein leader autoregulatory structure found in B. subtilis and other low-GC Gram-positive bacteria. It is located in the 5' untranslated regions of mRNAs encoding ribosomal proteins L10 and L12 (rplJ-rplL).
Source: Rfam
CAAAGGAUGAAAGUUCUACCGAAGACUCGGGUGGCGUAAAGCCUUAAUAUCCCGCCGAGGCCAAGAAAGAAUGGAUAUUUAAUGCCACGUCUUUUUGGCGUGGUUUUUUGAUUCUUACA